This is a long non-coding RNA of Epinephelus fuscoguttatus (brown-marbled grouper), 491 nucleotides long. RefSeq lists it as uncharacterized. The transcript has 3 exons. The record is from RefSeq and is a predicted model, not a curated record. NCBI's taxonomy places the organism in Eukaryota, Metazoa, Chordata, Actinopteri, Perciformes, Serranidae.
GAAACUUGUAAGGUGAAAGAAAAACAGAGAGACACAACAGUUGAAGAUGACAGGAUAAGAUCUGGGCUCUGUGCAGUUUGGAGCUGGAAAAGAGGUGCACUGAAAUAACAAAAUCCCAGAGCCUCAGGGGAAGAGUGUGAUGAUGGCUGAAGAUACCAGCAGGAAGAAGACACUGGGGCCAGUGGAUAUGACACUGGCACUAACAAGACUGGGUCUGGGAAGAAAUAACAUGGCUCCGUUACACAAGUCCUGCGUGCAGCAAACCAUGGCACCCUCACAUGCUGAGCUGGUUUGGCAGCCCCUGGUAACCCUGAAAUAACCUGCAAAAUACAGCGAGAAAAACAGUUUGCAAAACAGACAGAGUCAUAAAGAGGAUCAGAGCGCCAAAAAACUGCAUCGUGAAGAGAAAAACGUUUUUCUGAUCAACUGUGUGAGCAGAGAACUGGAGACGAUGUCAAAUCUUCCAAAGCUUUUCCUCUUAUGGUCCAACC